UACGGAGGGGGCGAGCGUUGUUCGGAGUGACUGGGCGUAAAGAGCACGUAGGCGGUGUUGUAAGUCAUUAGUCAAAGACUAGAGCUCAACUUUAGUAAGGCUAGUGAUACUAUAAUACUAGAGUAUCAGAGAGGAUUGCAGAAUUCCUGGUGUAGCGGUGAAAUGCGUAGAUAUUAGGAGGAACACCAGUGGCGAAGGCGGCUUACUGGACUGUAACUGACGUUGAGGCUCGAAAGCGUGGGGAGCAAACAGG
Molecule: ribosomal RNA, 253 nt
Filed under: uncultured Mucispirillum sp.
Lineage: Bacteria; Pseudomonadati; Deferribacterota; Deferribacteres; Deferribacterales; Mucispirillaceae
Description: partial 16S ribosomal RNA
Rfam family: Bacterial small subunit ribosomal RNA
Source: RNAcentral